GCAUCGGUGGGUUCAGUAGUAGAGAAUGCUCGCCUGUCACGCGGGCGGCCCGGGUUCGAUUCCCGGCCGAUGCU
This 74-nucleotide transfer RNA is filed under the name Cordylochernes scorpioides. Its description in RNAcentral is "tRNA-Asp". It matches the Rfam family "tRNA". From Rfam's summary of the family: Transfer RNA (tRNA) molecules are approximately 80 nucleotides in length. Their secondary structure includes four short double-helical elements and three loops (D, anti-codon, and T loops). Further hydrogen bonds mediate the characteristic L-shaped molecular structure. tRNAs have two regions of fundamental functional importance: the anti-codon, which is responsible for specific mRNA codon recognition, and the 3' end, to which the tRNAs corresponding amino acid is attached (by aminoacyl-tRNA synthetases). tRNAs cope with the degeneracy of the genetic code in two manners: having more than one tRNA (with a specific anti-codon) for a particular amino acid; and 'wobble' base-pairing, i.e. permitting non-standard base-pairing at the 3rd anti-codon position. The record is from RNAcentral. Lineage: Eukaryota; Metazoa; Arthropoda; Arachnida; Pseudoscorpiones; Chernetidae.